UACCAUGCCCCCAGCAAAUUCAAUGCACCAGUUUUGUUUUACCAAUUAUUAGUUGAAAGUUACGCUUCUAUUAUUUUCUUGAAUGUGGGCUUAUUUUACUGCUUCUCAAUUUGCUCUAUUAUUUGAUGCAGCUCAAUUAUAAGGUUUGCUGAGAAGAGUUUAGAUGCUGAAUUGAGAGCAUUGGUUUUCAAUCCUCGACUCAUGGAGCUUUUUGAGGUGUGCUGGAAAUGGAAAACACAGACACAGAGCAGGAAACAAAGUCUUCAUCGAGAGGGGUUUUCAAGUUACUUGGAGAACCUGCGAUAGUUAUUAAUGGGUAGCACAAUUCGAAUAGUAUACUCGGGUAUUUAGAGAGAUCAUUUCUCGGCUUCUAUCCCUGGGUUCUUCAAAGGAUUGCCAGACGUAUACAAUGCAUUCAAAAUUCCAAAUCCAUGAUGGGCGCACUUUGAGAAAUUCUUAUGUCAUGCCUUCUCACCUUUCAGCUGGUGGAGUUAUUGGAUCAAUCCUGGUGGUCCUUUGCUUGUUUUGGGUUGGUCUGGUAGAAGAAGAAGAACUAUCCAUGAAAGAAAUGGUCAGAAAGCUAACGACAAACACAAUGUAAAGUAAAAUAAUUAUCCAUGAAUAAGAGCUUUCAUGUAAUGUGAUUUGUGUUUUUUUUUUAUUAUAUGAAUAAUGAUCCAUUAUAUCAUAUUUAUUAUUAAUUUAUUUAUUAUAUAUUUUUAUUAUGGUA
Carya illinoinensis is the source of this 730-nucleotide RNA transcript. It is a transcript of the gene named amino acid transporter AVT1C-like, with no coding region annotated. The transcript is spliced from 4 exons. The record is from RefSeq and is a predicted model, not a curated record. Lineage: Eukaryota; Viridiplantae; Streptophyta; Magnoliopsida; Fagales; Juglandaceae.